This 511-nucleotide ribosomal RNA is filed under the name uncultured bacterium. RNAcentral describes it as "bacterial SSU rRNA". It matches the Rfam family "Bacterial small subunit ribosomal RNA", at positions 17 to 518 of the family's 1533-position model. The record is from RNAcentral.
UCCUGGCUCAGGAUGAACGCUAGCGACAGGCUUAACACAUGCAAGUCGAGGGGCAUCACGGGAGUAGCAAUACAACUGGUGGCGACCGGCGCACGGGUGAGUAACGCGUAUGCAACCUACCUAUCAGAGGGGAAUAACCCGGCGAAAGUCGGACUAAUACCGCAUAAAACAGGGGCACCGCAUGGUGAUAUUUGUUAAAGAAAUUCGCUGAUAGAUGGGCAUGCGUUCCAUUAGGCAGUUGGUGAGGUAACGGCUCACCAAGCCGACGAUGGAUAGGGGAACUGAGAGGUUGGUCCCCCACACUGGUACUGAGACACGGACCAGACUCCUACGGGAGGCAGCAGUGAGGAAUAUUGGUCAAUGGGCGGGAGCCUGAACCAGCCAAGUCGCGUGAAAGGAAGAAGGAUCUAUGGUUCGUAAACUUCUUUUGCAGGGGAAUAAAGUGCAGGACGUGUCCUGUUUUGUAUGUACCCUGAGAAUAAGGAUCGGCUAACUCCGUGCCAGCCGCAGC